RNAcentral lists this ribosomal RNA (428 nucleotides) under Grandidierina rubrocaudata. RNAcentral's name for it is "partial large subunit ribosomal RNA". It matches the Rfam family "Bacterial large subunit ribosomal RNA", at positions 1952 to 2574 of the family's 2925-position model. The record is from RNAcentral. Lineage: Eukaryota; Metazoa; Chordata; Lepidosauria; Squamata; Scincidae.
AAAGGUAGCGUAAUCACUUGUCUUCUAAAUAAAGACUCGUAUGAACGGCUAAAUGAGGACAAGCCUGUCUCUUACAACCAAUCAGUUAAACUGAUCUUCCAGUUAAAAAGCUGGAAUAACCACAUAAGACGAGAAGACCCUGUGGAGCUUUAAACUUCCCACUAGCAAGCAAACACCCUGCCUAUAGUACACAGUUUUAAGUUGGGGCGACUUUGGAACAAAACAAAACUUCCAAGCACAGAGCCACACGCUCUAACCACGGCCAACAAGCCAAAGUUAUAAAUACAGACCCAGUAACACUGAUCAACGAACCAAGUUACCCCAGGGAUAACAGCGCCAUCUUCUUCAAGAGUCCAUAUCGACAAGAAGGUUUACGACCUCGAUGUUGGAUCAGGACACCCAAAUGGUGCAGCCGCUAUUAAAGGUUC